UACGUAGGGGGCAAGCGUUGUCCGGAAUCAUUGGGCGUAAAGAGCGCGUAGGCGGUCCGGUAAGUCAGCUGUGAAAGUCAAGGGCUCAACCCUUGAAAGCCGGUUGAUACUGUCGGGCUAGAGUCCGGAAGAGGCGAGUGGAAUUCCCGGUGUAGCGGUGAAAUGCGCAGAUAUCGGGAGGAACACCAAUGGCGAAGGCAGCUCGCUGGGACGUUACUGACGCUGAGACGCGAAAGCGUGGGGAGCAAACAGG
RNAcentral lists this ribosomal RNA (253 nucleotides) under uncultured bacterium. RNAcentral's name for it is "partial 16S ribosomal RNA". It matches the Rfam family "Bacterial small subunit ribosomal RNA", at positions 524 to 776 of the family's 1533-position model. The record is from RNAcentral.